ACAUGCAAGUCGAGCGCUACCUUCGGGUGGAGCGGCGGACGGGUUAGUAACGCGUGGGAACGUACCCAGAUCUAAGGAAUAGCCACUGGAAACGGUGAGUAAUACCUUAUACGCCCUUCGGGGGAAAGAUUUAUCGGAUUUGGAUCGGCCCGCGUUAGAUUAGAUAGUUGGUGGGGUAAUGGCCUACCAAGUCUACGAUCUAUAGCUGGUUUUAGAGGAUGAUCAGCAACACUGGGACUGAGACACGGCCCAGACUCCUACGGGAGGCAGCAGUGGGGAAUCUUGGACAAUGGGCGCAAGCCUGAUCCAGCCAUGCCGCGUGAGUGAUGAAGGCCUUAGGGUCGUAAAGCUCUUUCGCCAGAGAUGAUAAUGACAGUAUCUGGUAAAGAAACCCCGGCUAACUCCGUGCCAGCAGCCGCGGUAAUACGGAGGGGGUUAGCGUUGUUCGGAAUUACUGGGCGUAAAGCGUACGUAGGCGGAUUAGUCAGUCAGAGGUGAAAUCCCAGGGCUCAACCCUGGAACUGCCUUUGAUACUGCUAGUCUUGAGUUCGAGAGAGGUGAGUGGAAUUCCAAGUGUAGAGGUGAAAUUCGUAGAUAUUUGGAGGAACACCAGUGGCGAAGGCGGCUCACUGGCUCGAUACUGACGCUGAGGUACGAAAGUGUGGGGAGCAAACAGGAUUAGAUACCCUGGUAGUCCACACCGUAAACGAUGAAUGCCAGUCGUCGGGCAGUAUACUGUUCGGUGACACACCUAACGGAUUAAGCAUUCCGCCUGGGGAGUAC
Molecule: ribosomal RNA, 783 nt
Filed under: uncultured bacterium
Lineage: Bacteria
Description: bacterial SSU rRNA
Rfam family: Bacterial small subunit ribosomal RNA
Source: RNAcentral